UCCGUUGUGGUCUAGGGGCUAGGAUUUGCCGCUCUCAUCGAGAGUCCUCACACUUGAUCAAGUGCCGGCAAGGCCCGGGUUCGAUUCCCGGCGACGGAA
Lophium mytilinum is the source of this 99-nucleotide non-coding RNA. Lineage: Eukaryota; Fungi; Ascomycota; Dothideomycetes; Mytilinidiales; Mytilinidiaceae. The record is from the annotation of a GenBank genome assembly.